This 492-nucleotide ribosomal RNA is filed under the name uncultured bacterium. RNAcentral describes it as "partial 16S ribosomal RNA". It matches the Rfam family "Bacterial small subunit ribosomal RNA", at positions 29 to 507 of the family's 1533-position model. The record is from RNAcentral.
AGUGAACGCUGGCGGUAGGCCUAACACAUGCAAGUCGAACGGCAGCACAGUAAGAGCUUGCUCUUACGGGUGGCGAGUGGCGGACGGGUGAGGAAUACAUCGGAAUCUACUUUUUCGUGGGGGAUAACGUAGGGAAACUUACGCUAAUACCGCAUACGACCUACGGGUGAAAGCAGGGGAUCUUCGGACCUUGCGCGAUUGAAUGAGCCGAUGUCGGAUUAGCUAGUUGGCGGGGUAAAGGCCCACCAAGGCGACGAUCCGUAGCUGGUCUGAGAGGAUGAUCAGCCACACUGGAACUGAGACACAGUCCAGACUCCUACGGGAGGCAGCAGUGGGGAAUAUUGGACAAUGGGCGCAAGCCUGAUCCAGCCAUACCGCGUGGGUGAAGAAGGCCUUCGGAUUGUAAAGCCCUUUUGUUGGGAAAGAAAAGCAGCAGGUUAAUACCCCGCUGUUCUGACGGUACCCAAAGAAUAAGCACCGGCUAACUUCGUG